Molecule: ribosomal RNA, 256 nt
Filed under: uncultured bacterium
Lineage: Bacteria
Description: partial 16S ribosomal RNA
Rfam family: Bacterial small subunit ribosomal RNA
Source: RNAcentral
CGGCACGGGUGAGUAACACGUAUCCAACCUGCCGUCUACUCUUGGACAGCCUUCUGAAAGGAAGAUUAAUACAAGAUGGCAUCAUGAGUCCGCAUGUUCACAUGAUUAAAGGUAUUCCGGUAGACGAUGGGGAUGCGUUCCAUUAGAUAGUAGGCGGGGUAACGGCCCACCUAGUCUUCGAUGGAUAGGGGUUCUGAGAGGAAGGUCCCCCACACUGGUACUGAGACACGGACCAGACUCCUACGGAAGGCAGCAG